RNAcentral lists this ribosomal RNA (623 nucleotides) under uncultured archaeon. RNAcentral's name for it is "bacterial SSU rRNA". It matches the Rfam family "Archaeal small subunit ribosomal RNA", at positions 146 to 774 of the family's 1478-position model. The record is from RNAcentral.
AUAAUACUCCAUAGAUUAGAGACACUGGAAUGUUCUUUAGUCGAAAGUUCUGGCGCCUUAGGAUGGAUCUGCGGUCGAUUAGGUUGUUGUUGGGGUAACGGCCCAACAAGCCUGUAAUCGAUACGGGUUGUGGGAGCAAGAGCCCGGAGAUGGAAUCUGAGACACGUUUCCAGGCCCUACGGGGCGCAGCAGGCGCGAAAACUUUACAAUGCAGGAAACUGUGAUAAGGGAACUCCGAGUGCCCGUAUACGCGGGCUGUCCAGGUGUUUAAAAAUCAUCUGAAGAAAGGGCCGGGCAAGACCGGUGCCAGCCGCCGCGGUAAUACCGGCGGCUCGAGUGGUGGCCACUAUUAUUGGGCUUAAAGCGUCCGUAGCUGGACCGAUAAGUCUCUUGGGAAAUCCGCCGGCUCAACCGGCGGGCGUCUAAGGGAUACUGUUAGUCUAGGGACCGGGAGAGGUGAGAGGUACUCCGGGGGUAGGAGUGAAAUCCUGUAAUCCCCGGGGGACCACCGAUGGCGAAGGCAUCUCACCAGAACGGCUCCGACAGUGAGGGACGAAAGCUGGGGGAGCGAACCGGAUUAGAUACCCGGGUAGUCCCAGCCGUAAACUAUGCGCGUUAGGUGU